This 1491-nucleotide ribosomal RNA is filed under the name metagenome. RNAcentral's name for it is "bacterial SSU rRNA". It matches the Rfam family "Bacterial small subunit ribosomal RNA". The record is from RNAcentral.
AGAGUUUGAUCCUGGCUCAGAUUGAACGCUGGCGGCAUGCCUUACACAUGCAAGUCGAACGGCAGCACGAGAGCUUGCUCUUGGUGGCGAGUGGCGAACGGGUGAGUAAUAUAUCGGAACGUACCCUAGAGUGGGGGAUAACGUAGCGAAAGUUACGCUAAUACCGCAUACGAUCUACGGAUGAAAGUGGGGGAUCGCAAGACCUCAUGCUCAUGGAGCGGCCGAUAUCUGAUUAGCUAGUUGGUGGGGUAAAAGCUCACCAAGGCGACGAUCAGUAGCUGGUCUGAGAGGACGACCAGCCACACUGGAACUGAGACACGGUCCAGACUCCUACGGGAGGCAGCAGUGGGGAAUUUUGGACAAUGGGCGCAAGCCUGAUCCAGCAAUGCCGCGUGAGUGAAGAAGGCCUUCGGGUUGUAAAGCUCUUUUGUCAGGGAAGAAACGGUGGACUCUAAUACAGAUCACUAAUGACGGUACCUGAAGAAUAAGCACCGGCUAACUACGUGCCAGCAGCCGCGGUAAUACGUAGGGUGCAAGCGUUAAUCGGAAUUACUGGGCGUAAAGCGUGCGCAGGCGGUUGUGCAAGACAGAUGUGAAAUCCCCGGGCUCAACCUGGGAAUUGCAUUUGUGACUGCACGGCUAGAGUGUGUCAGAGGGGGGUAGAAUUCCACGUGUAGCAGUGAAAUGCGUAGAGAUGUGGAGGAAUACGGAUGGCGAAGGCAGCCCCCUGGGAUAACACUGACGCUCAUGCACGAAAGCGUGGGGAGCAAACAGGAUUAGAUACCCUGGUAGUCCACGCCCUAAACGAUGUCUACUAGUUGUCGGGUCUUAAUUGACUUGGUAACGCAGCUAACGCGUGAAGUAGACCGCCUGGGGAGUACGGUCGCAAGAUUAAAACUCAAAGGAAUUGACGGGGACCCGCACAAGCGGUGGAUGAUGUGGAUUAAUUCGAUGCAACGCGAAAAACCUUACCUACCCUUGACAUGUCUGGAAUCCUUGAGAGAUCAGGGAGUGCUCGAAAGAGAAUCAGAACACAGGUGCUGCAUGGCUGUCGUCAGCUCGUGUCGUGAGAUGUUGGGUUAAGUCCCGCAACGAGCGCAACCCUUGUCAUUAGUUGCUACGAAAGGGCACUCUAAUGAGACUGCCGGUGACAAACCGGAGGAAGGUGGGGAUGACGUCAAGUCCUCAUGGCCCUUAUGGGUAGGGCUUCACACGUCAUACAAUGGUACAUACAGAGGGCCGCCAACCCGCGAGGGGGAGCUAAUCCCAGAAAGUGUAUCGUAGUCCGGAUUGUAGUCUGCAACUCGACUACAUGAAGUUGGAAUCGCUAGUAAUCGCGGAUCAGCAUGUCGCGGUGAAUACGUUCCCGGGUCUUGUACACACCGCCCGUCACACCAUGGGAGCGGGUUUCACCAGAAGUGGGUAGCCUAACCGCAAGGAGGGCGCUCACCACGGUGGGAUUCGUGACUGGGGUGAAGUCGUAACAAGGUA